Pelobates cultripes (western spadefoot toad) is the source of this 712-nucleotide non-coding RNA. NCBI's taxonomy places the organism in Eukaryota, Metazoa, Chordata, Amphibia, Anura, Pelobatidae. The record is from the annotation of a GenBank genome assembly.
UAUACAUCCUCUAUAUACCUGGGUGAGGCCCAGUGACAAAAUCCCAAUAAUACCCUGCUGGGGUUACAGGUACUGCUGGUACCACGUGCUUACUAUUUAAGCCUCUUUUACGCCCUGCUGGGGUAUUUGGUACUGCUGGUACCGCUGCACGUAUUUAUUAUACACCCUGCUGGUACCAUCACAAUACAAACUGACCCCUAGCCCAACCUGUGCCAAGUAUACUAUUUGUGGUCACUAUAACAACUAUGGAUACAUCCCAGAACACUACGGAUUUCCAAACUAUGAUAAAUGAGGCUAUUGCGGCCUCGAUGGAGAAGGCACUCUCCAGGGUUAUGACGGCGUCUGCCGAGAAACACAAAAACCCCGCUAAGGUCCAGCACCAGGACUACGAUUCCGAAGCUUCGGAAUCACACACAGAAGCUGACACCUGGCCUUCUAAACGCCACUGGAAGGGCGGAAAGGGGAACGUCAACCCUGACAAAGGCAAGACCCCUGUCAAACGACGCAAGCCGGUUCCCUAUGCCCCUUCCCCAAGACGCCACUUCUCCUCGGACGAGGAGGGGAGACACCCUCCAUGGCGAUAUUGGACUCAUGGCAGGCCGUGGAUUCCGAUUCCACAGAGGAAAACGCCUGGGGCUCGGAUGACUAUUCAGUGAACGGAACUUCGAUCCAUUUACUGCGCCUGUAACUGCCAUUCUGAAUUUUCUUUCCC